AUUGAACGCUGGCGGCAGGCUUAACACAUGCAAGUCGAGCGGGAGAAGGUAGCUUGCUACCGGACCUAGCGGCGGACGGGUGAGUAAUGCUUAGGAAUCUGCCUAUUAGUGGGGGACAACAUCUCGAAAGGGAUGCUAAUACCGCAUACGUCCUACGGGAGAAAGCAGGGGAUCUUCGGACCUUGCGCUAAUAGAUGAGCCUAAGUCGGAUUAGCUGGUUGGUGGGGUAAAGGCCUCCCAAGGCGACGAUCCGUAGCCGGUCUGAGAGGAUGAUCCGCCACACUGGGACUGAGACACGGACCAGACUCCUACGGGAGGCAGCAGUGGGGAAUAUUGGACAAUGGGGGGAGCCCUGAUCCAGCCAUGCCGCGUGUGUGAAGAAGGCCUUAUGGUUGUAAAGCACUUUAAGCGAGGAGGAGGCUACUCUAGUUAAUACCUAGGGAUAGUGGACGUUACUCGCAGAAUAAGCACCGGCUAACUCUGUGCCAGCCGCCGCGGUAA
Molecule: ribosomal RNA, 501 nt
Filed under: uncultured bacterium
Lineage: Bacteria
Description: partial 16S ribosomal RNA
Rfam family: Bacterial small subunit ribosomal RNA
Source: RNAcentral